This 29-nucleotide non-coding RNA is filed under the name Rattus norvegicus (Norway rat). Lineage: Eukaryota; Metazoa; Chordata; Mammalia; Rodentia; Muridae. The record is from RNAcentral.
UGGGAAAUCUUUGACUCAGCAGCAGCUGU